UAUGGCGAUAUCAGAUUGGAAUACCAGUGCCCAUAUGAUCACUGAAGUAAAGCAACAUUUAGCCUGGUCAGUACCUAGAUGAGUGACCACUUGAGAAUAGCAGGUGCUGUAA
Non-coding RNA from Acanthosepion pharaonis, 112 nucleotides. The record is from the annotation of a GenBank genome assembly. NCBI's taxonomy places the organism in Eukaryota, Metazoa, Mollusca, Cephalopoda, Sepiida, Sepiidae.